Non-coding RNA from Pelobates cultripes (western spadefoot toad), 735 nucleotides. NCBI's taxonomy places the organism in Eukaryota, Metazoa, Chordata, Amphibia, Anura, Pelobatidae. The record is from the annotation of a GenBank genome assembly.
CCAAUAUUUAGUUUGUGAUAAGUGGCGCCCUAUUUUCUGUAUUAAUACUUUGCUAAUAUACAGUUCUGGUUUUUGUAUACUAUAAAUUUAGUCAGAUAAAGGACAGUCUCAUCCAAGGUACAUAAAGAUGGCACAGGUACCGGAUUUGCCAAGACAGUCCCACAUUAGGGAUUCUGUCCCAGCAAAAAUAGGUCCUAGAGACCAAUUCCACAUUGUGAAACCUGCCUAAACAUUUCAAAAUGGAGGGUUAAAUUUAUGGGUUGAUGUCACACCAAUGUUGUAUAAUGUAUUGCUGCACUAUAGAAUAUAGCUAGUUAAUGCAAAUUGUGUUGGGCAUACAUGAACUGGCUACUUGGUAGAGGUGAUAUGGCCAAUUUGAUUGUAGAGGAUAGAUGUCAGAAGAUUUACAAUAAGAAAUCCUCUUUUGAAGCUUUGACUCUAGAUCUCCUCUGCAAUGUGUGAAAUAUUACCCAUGAGUAUUUGACCUGUAAGUCUGCUUUCAACUAACUGGCUUCUACCAUAUGCCUGUAUCUCCUCUUAGAGAGUGGGUUCUUUUGACAUGUUAAUGAGCAUUAGCAUUGAAGAGAACUAGUGUGUUCCAGUGUCAUAUCCAAAAAAACAUUAAUAAUAACCCACAGGUGAAUAAUCAUGCCUCCUUUUGUGAAUCUGAAAAAAAAAAAAGAGUUUAAAUAUGGCAAGCGCAGCUUAAGUCGUUUGGAAGGAGUUAUGAAGUCC